Janthinobacterium sp. B9-8 is the source of this 114-nucleotide non-coding RNA. The record is from Rfam. Lineage: Bacteria; Pseudomonadati; Pseudomonadota; Betaproteobacteria; Burkholderiales; Oxalobacteraceae.
UCUGGCGACCAUAGCGAGGUGGUCCCACUCCUUCCCAUCCCGAACAGGACAGUGAAACACCUUAGCGCCGAUGAUAGUGCAGAUUACCUGUGUGAAAGUAGGUCAUUGCCAGAC